GACGAACGCUGGCGGCGUGCUUAACACAUGCAAGUCGAACGGAAAGGCCCUGCUUUUGUGGGGUGCUCGAGUGGCGAACGGGUGAGUAACACGUGAGUAACCUGCCCUUGACUUUGGGAUAACUUCAGGAAACUGGGGCUAAUACCGGAUAGGAGCUCCUGCUGCAUGGUGGGGGUUGGAAAGUUUCGGCGGUUGGGGAUGGACUCGCGGCUUAUCAGCUUGUUGGUGGGGUAGUGGCUUACCAAGGCUUUGACGGGUAGCCGGCCUGAGAGGGUGACCGGCCAGGGUGGGACGGUGCGCGGGCACAGACAGGAGGGGGGGGGAGGAGGGGGGGAAAGUGCAGGAGGGGGGGAGGCGGGGUGCGGCACGGCGGGGGGGGGGAUGACGGCGUGCGGGUUGCAGACCGCGUGCGGGUGGGAGGAGGGUGGGGUGAGGUUAGUGGUUAAAGAAGACCGGGCUAAAGACGUGCAGCCAGCGGUGGGAAGCGGCGAAGAGCACACUUCCGAGC
This 508-nucleotide ribosomal RNA is filed under the name uncultured bacterium. RNAcentral's name for it is "partial 16S ribosomal RNA". The stretch from base 20 to 332 matches the Rfam family "Bacterial small subunit ribosomal RNA", at positions 47 to 358 of the family's 1533-position model. The record is from RNAcentral.